GGCGGGGUAGCUCAAUUGGUUAGAGCGCGGGACUCAUAAGCCCGAGGUCGGCAGUUCGAUUCUGCCCCCCGCUACCA
Molecule: transfer RNA, 77 nt
Filed under: Patescibacteria group bacterium
Lineage: Bacteria
Description: tRNA-Met
Rfam family: tRNA
About the family: Transfer RNA (tRNA) molecules are approximately 80 nucleotides in length.
Source: RNAcentral